UACGUAGGGUGCAAGCGUUGUCCGGAAUCAUUGGGCGUAAAGAGCGUGUAGGCGGUCCGGUAAGUCCGCUGUGAAAGUCGGGGGCUCAACCCUCGAAUGCCGGUGGAUACUGUCGGGCUAGAGUGCGGAAGAGGCGAGUGGAAUUCCUGGUGUAGCGGUGAAAUGCGCAGAUAUCAGGAGGAGCACCGAUGGCGAAGGCAGGUCUCUGGGCCUCUACUGACGCUGAGACGCGAAAGCGUGGGGAGCAAACAGG
This 253-nucleotide ribosomal RNA is filed under the name uncultured bacterium. RNAcentral's name for it is "partial 16S ribosomal RNA". It matches the Rfam family "Bacterial small subunit ribosomal RNA", at positions 524 to 776 of the family's 1533-position model. The record is from RNAcentral.